GGUUUGCUUCCAGAGUCUCACAGUUUUCAACUGUUUAGUUAUACACAUUCUCAAAUGUGUCUGCUGUGCACAGUGUAUGAAUUUUCUACAGUUCGAUGGCUUUCGUAAUUUGUGAAGCUGAAGGAAAAACAAACGUAGAGCUUCCUAUGCUCAAGCUCCUUCCUCUAUAUGCAGAAAUUAAUAUGUCAAAUGUGAAUCAACAACUGAAAGAGAUGUUAAACAAAGAAGACGUAUAGAAUACAUUUUAUGGUUAGUGUUUGAGAACACGUCUCGUUCAUAGAACGAUGAAAGCAAAUAAGGAUUUCCUUUUUAGUAUGGGCGCAUGUUCUUUUUUUUACUUGUCACUAUUAGAAAUGGAUAAGGGAACCAGGUUUAAUAACUAAAACAAAUCGUUCAAUUUGAACCACUUAACAUACACUGUAUCAAAGAGUACAGUGAGUACUAAAUUUUUUUUAAAGACUGACAAGGUUCAUUUCCCUAAUAUUAUUGUAAAAUAGACAUUGCAAUAAAGAUACACGUUUUAA
Molecule: long non-coding RNA, 524 nt
Filed under: Mytilus galloprovincialis (Mediterranean mussel)
Lineage: Eukaryota; Metazoa; Mollusca; Bivalvia; Mytilida; Mytilidae
Source: RNAcentral